UACAGAGGGGGCAAGCGUUGUUCGGAAUUACUGGGCGUAAAGGGCGCGUAGGCGGCCUGUUAAGUCGGAUGUGAAAUCCCCGGGCUCAACCCGGGAACUGCGUCCGAUACUGGCAGGCUUGAAUCCGGGAGAGGGAUGCGGAAUUCCAGGUGUAGCGGUGAAAUGCGUAGAUAUCUGGAGGAACACCGGUGGCGAAGGCGGCAUCCUGGACCGGCAUUGACGCUGAGGCGCGAAAGCCAGGGGAGCAAACGGG
RNAcentral lists this ribosomal RNA (253 nucleotides) under uncultured bacterium. RNAcentral's name for it is "partial 16S ribosomal RNA". It matches the Rfam family "Bacterial small subunit ribosomal RNA", at positions 524 to 776 of the family's 1533-position model. The record is from RNAcentral.